This 492-nucleotide ribosomal RNA is filed under the name uncultured bacterium. RNAcentral's name for it is "partial 16S ribosomal RNA". It matches the Rfam family "Bacterial small subunit ribosomal RNA", at positions 29 to 507 of the family's 1533-position model. The record is from RNAcentral.
AGUGAACGCUGGCGGUAGGCCUAACACAUGCAAGUCGAACGGCGGCACAGUAAGAGCUUGCUCUUACGGGUGGCGAGUGGCGGACGGGUGAGGAAUACAUCGGAAUCUACUUUUUCGUGGGGGAUAACGUAGGGAAACUUACGCUAAUACCGCAUACGACCUACGGGUGAAAGCAGGGGAUCUUCGGACCUUGCGCGAUUGAAUGAGCCGAUGUCGGAUUAGCUAGUUGGCGGGGUAAAGGCCCACCAAGGCGACGAUCCGUAGCUGGUCUGAGAGGAUGAUCAGCCACACUGGAACUGAGACACGGUCCAGACUCCUACGGGAGGCAGCAGUGGGGAAUAUUGGACAAUGGGCGCAAGCCUGAUCCAGCCAUACCGCGUGGGUGAAGAAGGCCUUCGGGUUGUAAAGCCCUUUUGUUGGGAAAGAAAAGCAGCAGGUUAAUACCCCGCUGUUCCGACGGUACCCAAAGAAUAAGCACCGGCUAACUUCGUG